CCUACGGGCGGCAGCAGUGAGGAAUAUUGGUCAAUGGGCGCGAGCCUGAACCAGCCAAGUAGCGUGAAGGAUGACUGCCCUACGGGUUGUAAACUUCUUUUAUAUGGGAAUAAAACAGGGUAUGCAUACCCUCUUGUAUGUACCAUAUGAAUAAGGAUCGGCUAACUCCGUGCCAGCAGCCGCGGUAAUACGGAGGAUCCGAGCGUUAUCCGGAUUUAUUGGGUUUAAAGGGUGCGUAGGCGGGCUGUUAAGUCAGCGGUAAAAGCCCGGGGCUCAACCCCGGCGAGCCGUUGAAACUGGCUGUCUUGAGAUGUCGAGAGGUAUGCGGAAUGCGCAGUGUAGCGGUGAAAUGCUUAGAUAUUGCGCAGAACUCCGAUUGCGAAGGCAGCAUACCGGCGGCGAUCUGACGCUGAGGCACGAAAGCGUGGGUAUCGAACAGGAUUAGAUACCCUAGUAGUC
This 459-nucleotide ribosomal RNA is filed under the name uncultured bacterium. RNAcentral describes it as "partial 16S ribosomal RNA". It matches the Rfam family "Bacterial small subunit ribosomal RNA", at positions 338 to 795 of the family's 1533-position model. The record is from RNAcentral.